GUUGUAUGGUUAAGUGACUAAGCGUACACGGUGGAUGCCUAGGCAGUCAGAGGCGAUGAAGGACGUACUAACUUGCGAUAAGCGCAGAUAAGGCAGUAAGAGCCGUUUGAGUCUGCGAUUUCCGAAUGGGGAAACCCAACUGCAUAAGCAGUUACUGUUAACUGAAUACAUAGGUUAACAGAGCAAACCGGGGGAACUGAAACAUCUAAGUACCCCGAGGAGAAGAAAUCAACCGAGAUUCCGGUAGUAGCGGCGAGCGAACCUGGAUUAGCCCUUAAGCACUCGGUGAAGUAGGUGAACAAGCUGGAAAGCUUGGCGAUACAGGGUGAUAGCCCCGUAACCGACGCUUCAUCGAGCGUGAAAUCGAGUAGGGCGGGACACGUGAUAUCCUGUCUGAAUAUGGGGGGACCAUCCUCCAAGGCUAAAUACUCCUGACUGACCGAUAGUGAACCAGUACCGUGAGGGAAAGGCGAAAAGAACCCCUGUGAGGGGAGUGAAAUAGAACCUGAAACCGUGUACGUACAAGCAGUAGGAGCACCUUCGUGGUGUGACUGCGUACCUUUUGUAUAAUGGGUCAGCGACUUAUAUUCAGUGGCAAGGUUAACCGUAUAGGGGAGCCGUAGCGAAAGCGAGUCUUAACUGGGCGUUCAGUCUCUGAAUAUAGACCCGAAACCGGGUGAUCUAGCCAUGGGCAGGUUGAAGGUUGAGUAACAUCAACUGGAGGACCGAACCGACUAA
RNAcentral lists this ribosomal RNA (738 nucleotides) under Vibrio cholerae. RNAcentral describes it as "partial 23S ribosomal RNA". It matches the Rfam family "Bacterial large subunit ribosomal RNA", at positions 1 to 786 of the family's 2925-position model. Lineage: Bacteria; Pseudomonadati; Pseudomonadota; Gammaproteobacteria; Vibrionales; Vibrionaceae. The record is from RNAcentral.